UGGGGAAUUUUACGCAAUGGGGGAAACCCUGACGUAGCGACACCGCGUGAGCGAAGAAGCCCUUUGGGGUGUAAAGCUCUGUCAACAGGAACGAAACAAAUGACGGUACCUGUGGAGGAAGCAUCGGCUAACUACGUGCCAGCAGCCGCGGUAAGACGUAGGAUGCAAGCGUUGUCCGGAUUUAUUGGGCGUAAAGAGUUCGUAGGCGGUUUGUUAAGUCUGAUGUUAAAGACCGGGGCUCAACCUCGGAAAUGCAUUGGAUACUGGCAGACUGGAGUGCAGUAGAGGCUAGUGGAAUUCCCCAGUGUAGCGGUGAAAUGCGUAGAUAUUGGGAAGAACACCGGUGGCGUAGGCGACUAGCUGGGCUGUAACUGACGCUGAGGAACGAAAGCCAGGGGAGCAAAUGGGAUUAAUACCCCCAGUAGUCCUGGCCGUAAANGAUGGAUACUAGGCGUAGUGGGUAUCGACCCCCUGUGUGCCCGCAGCUAACGCGAUAAGUAUCCCGCCUGAGUAGUACGGCCGCAAGG
RNAcentral lists this ribosomal RNA (527 nucleotides) under uncultured bacterium. Its description in RNAcentral is "partial 16S ribosomal RNA". It matches the Rfam family "Bacterial small subunit ribosomal RNA", at positions 355 to 893 of the family's 1533-position model. The record is from RNAcentral.